GAUGUUGGGUUAAGUCCCGCAACGAGCGCAACCCUUGUCUUUAGUUGCCAUCAUUAAGUUGGGCACUCUAGAGAGACUGCCAGGGAUAACCUGGAGGAAGGUGGGGAUGACGUCAAAUCAUCAUGCCCCUUAUGCUUAGGGCUACACACGUGCUACAAUGGGUAGUACAGAGGGUUGCCAAGCCGUAAGGUGGAGCUAAUCCCUUAAAGCUACUCUCAGUUCGGAUUGUAGGCUGAAACUCGCCUACAUGAAGCUGGAGUUACUAGUAAUCGCAGAUAAGAAUGCUGCGGUGAAUGCGUUCCCGGGUCUUGUACACACCGCCCGUCACACCACGGGCGUUGGAGACGCCUGAAGCCGAUUAUCUAACCUUUUGGCAGAAGUCGUCGAAGGUGGAAUCCAUAACUGGGGUGAAGUCGUACCAAGGUAGCCGUAUCGGAAGGUGCGGCUGGAUCACCUCCGUUCUAAGG
This 467-nucleotide ribosomal RNA is filed under the name Clostridioides difficile. Its description in RNAcentral is "bacterial SSU rRNA". It matches the Rfam family "Bacterial small subunit ribosomal RNA", at positions 1071 to 1533 of the family's 1533-position model. The record is from RNAcentral. Lineage: Bacteria; Bacillati; Bacillota; Clostridia; Peptostreptococcales; Peptostreptococcaceae.